Molecule: unclassified non-coding RNA, 344 nt
Filed under: soil metagenome
Description: partial contains 5.8S ribosomal RNA, internal transcribed spacer 2, and large subunit ribosomal RNA
Rfam family: 5.8S ribosomal RNA (bases 1-119)
Source: RNAcentral
GAUGAAGACGCAGCGAAAUGCGAUACGUAAUGUGAAUUGCAGAAUUCAGUGAAUCAUCGAGUCUUUGAACGCACAUUGCGCCCCCUGGUAUUCCGGGGGGCAUACCUGUCCGAGCGUCAUUGCUGCCCUCAAGCACGGCUUGUGUGUUGGGCCUCCGUCCUCCUCCCGGGGGACGGGCCCGAAAGGCAGCGGCGGCACCGCGUCCGGUCCUCGAGCGUAUGGGGCUUCGUCACCCGCUCUUGUAGGCCCGGCCGGCGCUUGCCGACACAUCAAUCUUUUUUCCAGGUUGACCUCGGAUCAGGUAGGGAUACCCGCUGAACUUAAGCAUAUCAAUAAGCGGAGGA